UACGGAGGAUCCGAGCGUUAUCCGGAUUUAUUGGGUUUAAAGGGUGCGCAGGCGGGAGAUUAAGUCGGCGGUGAAAUUUUGCAGCUCAACUGUAAAAGUGCCUUCGAAACUGGUUUCCUUGAGUGUGGAUGAAGUAGGCGGAAUUUGUGGUGUAGCGGUGAAAUGCAUAGAUAUCACGAGGAACUCUGAUUGCUAAGGCAGCUUACUAAGCCAUAACUGACGCUGAGGCACGAAAGCUAGGGGAGCAAACAGGAUUAGAUACCCU
RNAcentral lists this ribosomal RNA (265 nucleotides) under uncultured prokaryote. RNAcentral's name for it is "partial 16S ribosomal RNA". It matches the Rfam family "Bacterial small subunit ribosomal RNA", at positions 524 to 788 of the family's 1533-position model. The record is from RNAcentral.